This is a non-coding RNA of Oryza brachyantha (malo sina), 207 nucleotides long. NCBI's taxonomy places the organism in Eukaryota, Viridiplantae, Streptophyta, Magnoliopsida, Poales, Poaceae. The record is from Rfam.
CAUCCCAAUAUUUGUAGAUUUCCGUGUCUAACGUUUGACCGUUCGUCUUAUUUGAAAAUUUUAUGAGAAAAAUUUUAAAAAAUAGUCACAUAUAAAGUACUAUUCAUGUUUUAUCAUCUAAUAAUAAUAAAAAAACUAAUUAUAAACUUUUUUAAAUAAGUCGGAUGAUCAAACCUUGAAUAUAAACAAUGCAAAAUUGCACUUAUU